AGAGUUUGAUCAUGGCUCAGAUUGAACGCUGGCGGCAUGCCUUACACAUGCAAGUCGAACGGCAGCACGGGAGCAAUCCUGGUGGCGAGUGGCGAACGGGUGAGUAAUACAUCAGAACGUGCCCUGUCGUGGGGGAUAACUAGUCGAAAGAUUAGCUAAUACCGCAUACGACCUGAGGGUGAAAGCGGGGGACCGUAAGGCCUCGCGCGAUAGGAGCGGCCGAUGUCCGAUUAGCUAGUUGGUGAGGUAAGAGCUCACCAAGGCGACGAUCAGUAGCUGGUCUGAGAGGACGAUCAGCCACACUGGGACUGAGACACGGCCCAGACUCCUACGGGAGGCAGCAGUGGGGAAUUUUGGACAAUGGGGGCAACCCUGAUCCAGCAAUGCCGCGUGUGUGAAGAAGGCCUUCGGGUUGUAAAGCACUUUUGUCCGGAAAGAAAUCCCCUGGGAUAAUACCUCGGGGGGAUGACGGUACCGGAAGAAUAAGCACCGGCUAACUACGUGCCAGCAGCCGCGGUAAUACGUAGGGUGCGAGCGUUAAUCGGAAUUACUGGGCGUAAAGCGUGCGCAGGCGGUUUUGUAAGACAGGCGUGAAAUCCCCGAGCUCAACUUGGGAAUGGCGCUUGUGACUGCAAGGCUAGAGUAUGUCAGAGGGGGGUAGAAUUCCACGUGUAGCAGUGAAAUGCGUAGAGAUGUGGAGGAAUACCGAUGGCGAAGGCAGCCCCCUGGGACGUCACUGACGCUCAUGCACGAAAGCGUGGGGAGCAAACAGGAUUAGAUACCCCGGUAGU
This 791-nucleotide ribosomal RNA is filed under the name uncultured bacterium. Its description in RNAcentral is "bacterial SSU rRNA". It matches the Rfam family "Bacterial small subunit ribosomal RNA", at positions 8 to 794 of the family's 1533-position model. The record is from RNAcentral.